RNAcentral lists this transfer RNA (91 nucleotides) under Deinococcus cellulosilyticus. RNAcentral's name for it is "tRNA-Ser". It matches the Rfam family "tRNA". From Rfam's summary of the family: Transfer RNA (tRNA) molecules are approximately 80 nucleotides in length. Their secondary structure includes four short double-helical elements and three loops (D, anti-codon, and T loops). Further hydrogen bonds mediate the characteristic L-shaped molecular structure. tRNAs have two regions of fundamental functional importance: the anti-codon, which is responsible for specific mRNA codon recognition, and the 3' end, to which the tRNAs corresponding amino acid is attached (by aminoacyl-tRNA synthetases). tRNAs cope with the degeneracy of the genetic code in two manners: having more than one tRNA (with a specific anti-codon) for a particular amino acid; and 'wobble' base-pairing, i.e. permitting non-standard base-pairing at the 3rd anti-codon position. Lineage: Bacteria; Thermotogati; Deinococcota; Deinococci; Deinococcales; Deinococcaceae. The record is from RNAcentral. RNAcentral also lists the same sequence under 2 other names.
GGAGAGGUGGGUGAGUGGCUUAAACCAUGCCCCUGCUAAGGGCACGUACUCCAAAAGGGUACCGAGGGUUCAAAUCCCUCCCUCUCCGCCA